RNAcentral lists this ribosomal RNA (253 nucleotides) under uncultured prokaryote. Its description in RNAcentral is "partial 16S ribosomal RNA". It matches the Rfam family "Bacterial small subunit ribosomal RNA", at positions 525 to 777 of the family's 1533-position model. The record is from RNAcentral.
ACGGAGGGUGCAAGCGUUAUCCGGAUUCACUGGGUUUAAAGGGUGCGUAGGCGGGUAGGUAAGUCAGUGGUGAAAUCUCCGAGCUUAACUCGGAAACUGCCAUUGAUACUAUCUAUCUUGAAUGUUCUGGAGAUGAGCGGAAUAUGUCAUGUAGCGGUGAAAUGCUUAGAUAUGACAUAGAACACCAAUUGCGAAGGCAGCUUACUACACGGUCAUUGACGCUGAGGCACGAAAGCGUGGGGAUCAAACAGGA